RNAcentral lists this ribosomal RNA (241 nucleotides) under uncultured bacterium. RNAcentral's name for it is "partial 16S ribosomal RNA". It matches the Rfam family "Bacterial small subunit ribosomal RNA", at positions 118 to 351 of the family's 1533-position model. The record is from RNAcentral.
UGAGUAAUCUGCCCUCGGCACCGGGAUAGCCCGGGGAAACCCGGAUUAAUACCGGAUAGCCUCCGAAGCCUUCGGGCGUCGGAGAAAAGGUAGCUUCGGCCUCUAGCCGAGGAUGAGCUCGCGGCGGAUUAGCUUGUUGGCGGGGUAAUGGCCCACCAAGGCGACGAUCCGUAGCUGGUCUGAGAGGACGAUCAGCCACACUGGGACUGAGACACGGCCCAGACCUCCGUACGGGAGGCAG